GCGCACCAGUCGAGAAACCUUUACAAUGUCUUCACGGACGAUAGGGGAAUCCUGAGUGCUCUAGCAUUGCUAGAGCUUUUGCUUACUGAAAAAGGUAGGCGAAUAAGUGGUGGGUAAGACGGGUGCCAGCCGCGCGGUAAUACCCGCGCCACAAGUGGUGACCACGUUUAUUGGGUCUAAAGCGCUCGUAGCCGGGCCUGAUAAAUUCUCGGUGAAAUCCUGUGUAAAUCAUAGGGCGUGCCGGGAAGACUGUCAAGCUAGGAACCCGGGAGAGGCUGAGGGGUACUCC
Molecule: ribosomal RNA, 289 nt
Filed under: uncultured microorganism
Description: partial 16S ribosomal RNA
Rfam family: Archaeal small subunit ribosomal RNA
Source: RNAcentral